Molecule: ribosomal RNA, 484 nt
Filed under: uncultured bacterium
Lineage: Bacteria
Description: partial 16S ribosomal RNA
Rfam family: Bacterial small subunit ribosomal RNA
Source: RNAcentral
AUUGAACGCUGGCGGCAGGCCUAACACAUGCAAGUCGAGCGGAUGAAGGGAGCUUGCUCCUGGAUUCAGCGGCGGACGGGUGAGUAAUGCCUAGGAAUCUGCCUGGCUGGUGGGGAUAACGUCCGGAAACGGGCGCUAAUACCGCAUACGUCCUGAGGGAGAAAGUGGGGGAUCUUCGGACCUCACGCUAUCAGAUGAGCCUAGGUCGGAUUAGCUAGUUGGUGGGGUAAAGGCCUACCAAGGCGACGAUCCGUAACUGGUCUGAGAGGAUGAUCAGUCACACUGGAACUGAGACACGGUCCAGACUCCUACGGGAGGCAGCAGUGGGGAAUAUUGGACAAUGGGCGAAAGCCUGAUCCAGCCAUGCCGCGUGUGUGAAGAAGGUCUUCGGAUUGUAAAGCACUUUAAGUUGGGAGGAAGGGCAGUAAGUUAAUACCUUGCUGUUUUGACGUUACCAACAGAAUAAGCACCGGCUAACUUCGUG